AUUGAACGCUGGCGGCAGGCCUAACACAUGCAAGUCGAGCGGAUGAAGGGAGCUUGCUCCUGGAUUCAGCGGCGGACGGGUGAGUAAUGCCUAGGAAUCUGCCUGGUAGUGGGGGAUAACGUCCGGAAACGGGCGCUAAUACCGCAUACGUCCUGAGGGAGAAAGUGGGGGAUCUUCGGACCUCACGCUAUCAGAUGAGCCUAGGUCGGAUUAGCUAGUUGGUGGGGUAACGGCCUACCAAGGCGACGAUCCGUAACUGGUCUGAGAGGAUGAUCAGGCACACUGGAACUGAGACACGGUCCAGACUCCUACGGGAGGCAGCAGUAGGGAAGAUUGGACAUGGGGCGAAAGCCUGAUCCAGCCAUGCCGCGUGUGUGAAGAAGGUCUUCGGAUUGUAAAGCACUUUAAGUUGGGAGGAAGGGCAGUAAGUUAAUACCUUGCUGUUUUGACGUUACCAACAGAAUAAGCACCGGCUAACUUCGUG
Molecule: ribosomal RNA, 484 nt
Filed under: uncultured bacterium
Lineage: Bacteria
Description: partial 16S ribosomal RNA
Rfam family: Bacterial small subunit ribosomal RNA
Source: RNAcentral